RNAcentral lists this ribosomal RNA (252 nucleotides) under uncultured bacterium. RNAcentral describes it as "partial 16S ribosomal RNA". It matches the Rfam family "Bacterial small subunit ribosomal RNA", at positions 524 to 776 of the family's 1533-position model. The record is from RNAcentral.
UACGUAAGGUCCGAGCGUUGUCCGGAAUCACUGGGCGUAAAGGGUUCGCAGGCGGAAAUGCAAGUCAGAUGUAAAAGGCAGUAGCUUAACUACUGUAAGCAUUUGAAACUGCAUAUCUUGAGAAGAGUAGAGGUAAGUGGAAUUUUUAGUGUAGCGGUGAAAUGCGUAGAUAUUAAAAAGAAUACCGGUGGCGAAGGCGACUUGCUGGAAUCUAACUGACGCUGAGGUACGAAAGCGUGGGGAGCAAAAAGG